UGGCUCAGGACGAACGCUGGCGGCGUGCCUAACACAUGCAAGUCGAGCGGGGACAUGCGACGGAGUCAAAGUUUCGGAUGGAGACAAAGAUGUAUGUUCUAGCGGCGGACGGGUGAGUAACGCGUGAGCAACCUGUCCUUCACAGGGGGAUAACACAGCGAAAGUUGUACUAAUACCGCAUAAGACCACAACGGGACAUCCCGCAGGGGUCAAAGGAGCAAUCCGGUGAAGGGUGGGCUCGCGUCCGAUUAGAUAGUUGGUGAGGUAACGGCCCACCAAGUCAACGAUCGGUAGCCGACCUGAGAGGGUGAUCGGCCACAUUGGGACUGAGACACGGCCCAAACUCCUACGGGAGGCAGCAGUGGGGAAUAUUGGGCAAUGGGGGGAACCCUGACCCAGCAACGCCGCGUGAGGGAAGAAGGUUUUCGGAUCGUAAACCUCUGCCCUUGGUGAAGAGGAAGAGACGGUAGCCAAGGAGGAAGCCCCGGCUAACUACGUGCCAGCAGCUGC
RNAcentral lists this ribosomal RNA (510 nucleotides) under uncultured bacterium. Its description in RNAcentral is "bacterial SSU rRNA". It matches the Rfam family "Bacterial small subunit ribosomal RNA", at positions 20 to 518 of the family's 1533-position model. The record is from RNAcentral.